AUCUAGCUGUAUGAGUGUUUUGGUCUUCAUAAAGCUAGAUAACCGAAAGUAAAAACUCCUUCAAG
RNAcentral lists this microRNA precursor (65 nucleotides) under Otus sunia (Oriental scops-owl). Its description in RNAcentral is "miRNA (ENSOSUG00000010896.1)". The stretch from base 1 to 50 matches the Rfam family "mir-9/mir-79 microRNA precursor family", at positions 11 to 62 of the family's 78-position model. From Rfam's summary of the family: The mature ~21nt miRNAs are processed from hairpin precursor sequences represented here. miR-9 is processed from the 5' arm of its precursor, and miR-79 from the 3' arm. The bounds of the precursors are predicted based on conservation and base pairing and are not generally known. Lineage: Eukaryota; Metazoa; Chordata; Aves; Strigiformes; Strigidae. The record is from RNAcentral.